CAGUAGCCGCGGGAAUACGUAGGGUGCAAGCGUUGUCCGGAAUUAUUGGGCAUAAAGAGCUCGUAGGCGGUUUGUCGCGUCUGCUGUGAAAACCCGAGGCUCAACCUCGGGCCUGCAGUGGGUACGGGCAGACUAGAGUGCGGUAGGGGAGAUUGGAAUUCCUGGUGUAGCGGUGGAAUGCGCAGAUAUCAGGAGGAACACCGAUGGCGAAGGCAGAUCUCUGGGCCGUAACUGACGCUGAGGAGCGAAAGCAUGGGGAGCGAACAGGAUUAGAUACCCCGGUAGUCCCUGUCUCUUAUAA
RNAcentral lists this ribosomal RNA (301 nucleotides) under uncultured bacterium. RNAcentral describes it as "partial 16S ribosomal RNA". It matches the Rfam family "Bacterial small subunit ribosomal RNA", at positions 509 to 809 of the family's 1533-position model. The record is from RNAcentral.